RNAcentral lists this ribosomal RNA (555 nucleotides) under uncultured Halolamina sp. RNAcentral describes it as "bacterial SSU rRNA". It matches the Rfam family "Archaeal small subunit ribosomal RNA", at positions 325 to 879 of the family's 1478-position model. The record is from RNAcentral. Lineage: Archaea; Methanobacteriati; Methanobacteriota; Halobacteria; Halobacteriales; Haloferacaceae.
ACGGGGAGCAGCAGGCGCGAAACCUUUACACUGCACGCCAGUGCGAUAAGGGGACCCCGAGUGAAAGGGCAUAUCGCCCUUUCUUUUCUGAACCGUAGGGAGGUUCAGGAACAAGAGCUGGGCAAGACCGGUGCCAGCCGCCGCGGUAAUACCGGCAGCUCAAGUGAUGACCGAUUUUAUUGGGCCUAAAGCGUCCGUAGCUGGCCGCGCAAGUCUGUCGGGAAAUCCACCCGCUCAACGGGUGGGCGUCCGGCGGAAACUGUGCGGCUUGGGACAGGAAGGCUCGAGGGGUACGUUCGGGGUAGGAGUGAAAUCCUGUAAUCCUGAACGGACCACCGAUGGCGAAAGCACCUCGAGAGGACUGAUCCGACAGUGAGGGACGAAAGCUGGGGUCUCGAACCGGAUUAGAUACCCGGGUAGUCCCAGCCGUAAACGAUGUUCGCUAGGUGUGACACUCACUACGAAUGAGUGUUGUGCCGCAGGGAAGCCGCUAAGCGAACCGCCUGGGAAGUACGUCCGCAAGGAUGAAACUUAAAGGAAUUGGCGGGGGAGCAC